ACAAACAAAAUGAUCGUGUUUACUUGCCAAAGAGGUCAGCUGAAAAUGUGCACCUUCGGUUGGCCACCAGAACUCAUGCGCCGGCCAUGGUGAUGAUGUGGGCCGCCAUAACAGCCGAUGGUUACUAUCCUCUCGUAUUAAUCAACCGUGUCAUCAGAAUAAAUGCCGAAUAUUAUGGCGUAAAUAUUCUGGAGGGUGCAUUAAAGCCUUGGGCACGCAAACCUUUUGGCAGUAGACCUUGGACAUUCCAACAGGACUUAGCCACAUGGCACUCAGCACGCGCCACCCAAGAAUGGUUACAAAAUGAGGUUCCUCGCUUCAUUUCCAGCACACAAUGGCCACCAAAAUCUCCGGAUACCAAUCCGUUGGACUAUUGUGUCUGGAGUAUUUUGGAAAGCAAAGUUGGUACUAAAAAAUACCAAAGUAUCGAUCACCUCAAGCAAGCGCUUCGCCGGGAAUGGGCCAAAAUACCGCAGAGCAACAUUCAUACUGUUACGGUGUGAGACGGUUUCAUUGGCCGUUUGAAGGCCAUAAUUCGUGCCAAAGGUGACCAAUUCGAACAAAUCUAAACUUAUUCUAAAAUUUGAUGAUAUUUCCGACAUUUUUUGCUUUCAUUCAGGAAAAUUAAAGUAAAAAAUGUAAAAA
This is a long non-coding RNA of Musca vetustissima, 645 nucleotides long. RefSeq lists it as uncharacterized. NCBI's taxonomy places the organism in Eukaryota, Metazoa, Arthropoda, Insecta, Diptera, Muscidae. The transcript is spliced from 2 exons. The record is from RefSeq and is a predicted model, not a curated record.